UACGUAGGGUGCAAGCGUUAUCCGGAAUUAUUGGGCGUAAAGAGCUCGUAGGCGGUUUGUCGCGUCUGCCGUGAAAGUCCGGGGCUCAACUCCGGAUCUGCGGUGGGUACGGGCAGACUAGAGUGAUGUAGGGGAGACUGGAAUUCCUGGUGUAGCGGUGAAAUGCGCAGAUAUCAGGAGGAACACCGGUGGCGAAGGCGGGUCUCUGGGCAGUAACUGACGCUGAGGAGCGAAAGCGUGGGGAGCGAACAGG
This 253-nucleotide ribosomal RNA is filed under the name uncultured bacterium. RNAcentral describes it as "partial 16S ribosomal RNA". It matches the Rfam family "Bacterial small subunit ribosomal RNA", at positions 524 to 776 of the family's 1533-position model. The record is from RNAcentral.